AGGCUAGGGUGCGGCGCUGAUGUGGCGAAGUGGCGGCUAGUGUUUCUAUUCCCUCUUUUUUUUUGGCUAAAAAUUGUUUAGGUUUUGGGCUUGUUGGGCCUCUAGGGUUUUUUUUGUUUAAUUUGGGCUUUGUAAUUGUAAAAUUGGGCCUGAUGGACUUUGGACUGUUGUUGCUAUUAUUUUUUUAUUAUUAUUUUUUGGUUGUUGUUUAGGGCCCGAACAAAAUUAGGCCUUUACAGGGGUCACUGAAAUCAUUGUUAGGAUCAUUGUGGGACUGAUCUUCAUUAUCAAACCUUUCAUCACCAUCUUCUAUUGUGGCCAAUAUUUUCGGAUGGAUCUCUAGACGAGUACACAUGGUUGGGAUGUAAUAUGAACAUCCACCGGUGUUCAGAUUUUUGGGAGUUGGCAUU
RNAcentral lists this long non-coding RNA (410 nucleotides) under Gossypium raimondii (Peruvian cotton). RNAcentral describes it as "long non-coding RNA (GRAI_LNC007639)". Lineage: Eukaryota; Viridiplantae; Streptophyta; Magnoliopsida; Malvales; Malvaceae. The record is from RNAcentral.